GCUUACACAUGCAAGUUCGAGCGGAUGAAGGUAGCUUGCUACCGGAUUCAGCGGCGGACGGGUGAGUAAUGCUUAGGAAUCUGCCUAUUAGUGGGGGACAACGUUCCGAAAGGAGCGCUAAUACCGCAUACGUCCUACGGGAGAAAGCAGGGGACCUUUGGGCCUUGCGCUAAUAGAUGAGCCUAAGUCGGAUUAGCUAGUUGGUAGGGUAAAGGCCUACCAAGGCGACGAUCUGUAGCGGGUCUGAGAGGAUGAUCCGCCACACUGGGACUGAGACACGGCCCAGACUCCUACGGGAGGCAGCAGUGGGGAAUAUUGGACAAUGGGGGGAACCCUGAUCCAGCCAUGCCGCGUGUGUGAAGAAGGCCUUUUGGUUGUAAAGCACUUUAAGCGAGGAGGAGGCUACCUAGAUUAAUACUUUAGGAUAGUGGACGUUACUCGCAGAAUAAGCACCGGCUAACUCUGUGCCAGCAGCCGCGGUAAUACAGAGGGUGCGAGCGUUAAUCGGAUUUACUGGGCGUAAAGCGUGCGUAGGCGGCCAAUUAAGUCAAAUGUGAAAUCCCCGAGCUUAACUUGGGAAUUGCAUUCGAUACUGGUUGGCUAGAGUAUGGGAGAGGAUGGUAGAAUUCCAGGUGUAGCGGUGAAAUGCGUAGAGAUCUGGAGGAAUACCGAUGGCGAAGGCAGCCAUCUGGCCUAAUACUGAC
This 704-nucleotide ribosomal RNA is filed under the name Acinetobacter sp. F112. RNAcentral describes it as "bacterial SSU rRNA". It matches the Rfam family "Bacterial small subunit ribosomal RNA", at positions 46 to 744 of the family's 1533-position model. Lineage: Bacteria; Pseudomonadati; Pseudomonadota; Gammaproteobacteria; Moraxellales; Moraxellaceae. The record is from RNAcentral.